GGCUGAUUUGAUGGUAGUGGGUUAUCUGAACUUAUUAACUUCAGUGUCACUAAAGUUGAUAAACAACCCCCCACUGCUAAAUUUAACUGGCAAAA
Molecule: Y RNA, 95 nt
Filed under: Propithecus coquereli (Coquerel's sifaka)
Lineage: Eukaryota; Metazoa; Chordata; Mammalia; Primates; Indriidae
Description: Y RNA (ENSPCOG00000007884.1)
Rfam family: Y RNA
About the family: Y RNAs are components of the Ro ribonucleoprotein particle (Ro RNP), in association with Ro60 and La proteins. The Y RNAs and Ro60 and La proteins are well conserved, but the function of the Ro RNP is not known.
Source: Rfam by way of RNAcentral